UUCCUGCUGCCACGAGAAGAAGGAUGUGUUUGCUUCCCCUUUUGCCACGACCGACCGACCAUAAGUUUCCUGAGGCCACCCCAGACCUGCAGAAUUGGAUACUGGUUGUAGGAGAGCUGCCCAGUGUUUCUUCUCCUCCCACACACCCAGUUUUAAUGGAGUACUUAGAACCCUGUAAGUACCAGAUUGCAAAGAGAAGAAUGCUUGGGCCUCCUUGCACUGCAACCUUGAACUCCUGGGCAUUCGUUUCACAUGAGCAAGGCCCAUGUGAAGCAUACAUAAUGCAUGGAGAGAGUGAGAAGGUGGAAGGGUGAGGGAGCUAGCCAGCAAGACCCCACAGAUCCCUUCCCUAUAUGGAACUGGACAAUGGCCCUUUGGUCAUACCAACCAAUCAGAGGGAGUGAGGAAAAGAUGGAGCUAAAAGGAGUUACAUCCAUGUGCAUGAUCCUGUCUAGUAAUAAAAGUUUGUUAAUAAGUGUCUGGAAUUUAAUUAGUAACUCUACCCUGGAAAGCAAACUGGAAAGGGCGUGGGCCAGGAAAGGAAUGGUUAUUCUCUCUAGAAGCCUACAGUGGCUAAAACAUAACAAACCAACAAACAAAUAAGCACACAGAAGAGUGAAACUUCAAACUGAAAUUGAAAAAAAGUUCUUGGCAAGUUAAUGGCAAUUGAUUCAUGAUGGAUUAUUAACCCACAGAUAUGGCUUGGGACCUAUCUGAUUCAUUGAGGUUGACAUCAUGGAGGACACUAUACUCUCUCACAAAGAUGUGUACCUUCUUGAAGGGCUCACUAAAAAAACCAGAGUCUUCCACCUCCAGGCUCACUGCAAUUGAUGCAUAGAUAAAACAAAUGUCGGAUAGCCAUCCAAUGGAUUAGUAUGCCGCCAUAAAAAGGAAGCACUCACUACUGAUACAAGCUUCAGUGUGGAUGAAGACUGACAAUAUUGUUCAUUGAAAGACACCAGACACAAAAGAUCAUAUAUUGCAUGAUUCCAUUUCUAUAAAAUGUCCAGAAUAUGCAAAUCCAUAGAGACAGAAAAUCACUUAGUGGUUGGGAGGAAAUGGGGGAAGGUGAGAAUGCGGAGUGACUGCUAAUGGGUUUCUUUUUGGGGUAAUGAUAAUACUCUUGAAUUAGACAGUGGUAAGGAUUAAACAAACUUGUGAAUAUAUUAAAAACUUGCAUUGUGUACUUUCAAAGGGUGAAUUUUAUGGAAUGUGGAUAUCUCACUUUUUUUUAAAAUGAAAGAAUGAAAAAAGGUGGCUUCUGUCUCAUCUGGACUCCUACAAUUUUUUUUUUUUUGAGACGGAGUUUCGCAAAUUUAAUUAUUGAUAAAUAUACCUGAGAGAUCACUGCUUGCCAGCCCUGUACUGGCACUGAGUUACAUAAAGGAAUAAGACCGUCCGGGCGUGGUGGCUUACACCUGUAAUCCCAGAACUUUGGGGUGCCGAUGUGGGUGGAUUGCUUGAGCUUAGGAGUUUGAGACCAGUCUGGACAACAUGGUGAAACUCCGUCUCUAUCAAAAAAUACAAAAAAUUAGCUGGGUGUGGUGGUGUGGGUCUGUGGUCCCAACUACUCAGCUAACUUGGGAGACUGAGGUGGGAGGAUUGCUUCAGCUUGGGAGGAGGAGGUUGCAGUGAAUCGAGAUUAUGCCACUGCACUCCAGCCUGGGUGACAGGGUGAGAUUCGUCUCAAAAAAAAAAAAAAAAAAGGAAUAAAACCCAAGCCCGCACACACUUCAUAGGCUAAAGGGAGACAAAUAAGUAAAUGUUCUAUUAUAACCAAGGGUGAGCUGGGUGCGAUGGCCCAUGUCUCUAAUCCCAGCACUUUGGGAGGCUGAGGCUGGCAGAUCACCUGAGAUCGAGAGUUCGAGACCAGCCUGACCAACAUGGAGAAACCCCAUCUUGACUAAAGAUGCAAA
RNAcentral lists this long non-coding RNA (1916 nucleotides) under Homo sapiens (human). Its description in RNAcentral is "HSALNT0228644". Lineage: Eukaryota; Metazoa; Chordata; Mammalia; Primates; Hominidae. The record is from RNAcentral.